AGAAUUUUGGAUUAAAUAUUCUUUUCGUCGUUAUAAAUUGGCACGUUUUUGGCUUUAGUCUCUGUAACCUAAUAUAUUUUUUUGGUUUUACUCCCUAAUUCUGGGUUUGAAUUCAUAUAUUCAUGUCCAACCUUCAUACAAACCCAAAAAAAAAUCAGAUCGAUGAGAACAUAUGUGUUUGUUUAUGAGGUAUUCAUGUAUGUUUAUUUAGUGCUCCACCAUUUCAAACC
This 230-nucleotide long non-coding RNA is filed under the name Lathyrus oleraceus (garden pea). RNAcentral describes it as "Pisum sativum (pea) long non-coding RNA (PSAT_LNC036663)". The record is from RNAcentral. Lineage: Eukaryota; Viridiplantae; Streptophyta; Magnoliopsida; Fabales; Fabaceae.